GACGAACGCUGGCGGCGUGCUUAACACAUGCAAGUCGAACGGUAAGGCCCUUCGGGGUACACGAGUGGCGAACGGGUGAGUAACACGUGAGUGAUCUGCCCUGCACUUCGGGAUAAGCCUGGGAAACUGGGUCUAAUACCGGAUAGGACUCCGGACUGCAUGGUCUGGGGUGGAAAGCUUUUGCGGUGCGGGAUGGGCCCGCGGCCUAUCAGCUUGUUGGUGGGGUGAUGGCCUACCAAGGCGACGACGGGUAGCCGGCCUGAGAGGGUGACCGGCCACACUGGGACUGAGAUAGGGCCCAGACUCCUACGGGAGGCAGCAGUGGGGAAUAUUGCACAAUGGGCGCAAGCCUGAUGCAGCGACGCCGCGUGAGGGAUGACGGCCUUCGGGUUGUAAACCUCUUUCAGCAUCGACGAAGCGAAAGUGACGGUAGGUGCAGAAGAAGGACCGGCCAACUACGUGCCAGCCGCCGCCGUAA
RNAcentral lists this ribosomal RNA (478 nucleotides) under uncultured bacterium. RNAcentral's name for it is "partial 16S ribosomal RNA". It matches the Rfam family "Bacterial small subunit ribosomal RNA", at positions 28 to 523 of the family's 1533-position model. The record is from RNAcentral.